Molecule: ribosomal RNA, 253 nt
Filed under: uncultured bacterium
Lineage: Bacteria
Description: partial 16S ribosomal RNA
Rfam family: Bacterial small subunit ribosomal RNA
Source: RNAcentral
UACGAGGGGUGCAAGCGUUGCUCGGAAUUAUUGGGCGUAAAGGGUAGGUAGGUGGUCUCAUUUGUCUGGGGUGAAAGCCUUGAGCUCAACUCAAGAAGUGCCCCAGAAACGGUGAGACUGGAGUCUUGGAGAGGGUCGUGGAAUUCCCGGUGUAGCGGUGAAAUGCGUAGAGAUUAGGAAGAACACCGGUGGCGAAAGCGCCUUGCUGGGUCUGCACUGACACUGAGGGACGAAAGCCAGGGGAGCGAAAGGG